Non-coding RNA from Peromyscus maniculatus bairdii (prairie deer mouse), 116 nucleotides. NCBI's taxonomy places the organism in Eukaryota, Metazoa, Chordata, Mammalia, Rodentia, Cricetidae. The record is from RefSeq and is a predicted model, not a curated record.
UUAUCCCAUCGACCUUUUGCCUCUGGGCUUUUACCUUUCUCUAUUUCUGCGUAUCUUUUCUUUUCUUCUUAUUUCAUGUCUAGCUGUGUGACUGGAUCAUUUUUACUCACUCCUUU